GGCCUUGUGGUGUGUAACACGUUAGAUUGCAAAUCUAGAAUUGCAGACUCGAAUAUCUGCCGGGGCUU
This 68-nucleotide transfer RNA is filed under the name Rasbora atridorsalis. Its description in RNAcentral is "tRNA-Cys". It matches the Rfam family "tRNA". Rfam says of the family: Transfer RNA (tRNA) molecules are approximately 80 nucleotides in length. The record is from RNAcentral. Lineage: Eukaryota; Metazoa; Chordata; Actinopteri; Cypriniformes; Danionidae.